This 253-nucleotide ribosomal RNA is filed under the name uncultured bacterium. Its description in RNAcentral is "partial 16S ribosomal RNA". It matches the Rfam family "Bacterial small subunit ribosomal RNA", at positions 524 to 776 of the family's 1533-position model. The record is from RNAcentral.
UACGUAGGGCGCAAGCGUUGUCCGGAAUUAUUGGGCGUAAAGAGCUCGUAGGCGGUUUGUCGCGUCUGCUGUGAAAACCUAAGGCUCAACCUUGGGCUUGCAGUGGGUACGGGCAGACUAGAGUGCGGUAGGGGUGACUGGAAUUCCUGGUGUAGCGGUGGAAUGCGCAGAUAUCAAGAGGAACCCCGAUGGCGAAGGCAGGUCACUGGGCCGCAACUGACGCUGAGGAGCGAAAGCAUGGGGAGCGAACAGG